AUAAUUGAUAAUUAAUAGCAACAAUAUUUUCUAAAAUUAUAAAAUAAUUUUUAAGGUACAAACAAAAUUAUAUCGACCCGAAAAUUUGAAAUCCUGCACGUCUGAAAAACAUUGGGGUAUGAAAGCCGGUACUACCAAUUGUGUCAAAAUUCGAAUCUAGAGGUGCCUAUGUGAAGCUUUCGGUACGAGGAGUCCGAAAACACUGAAAUCACAGCCCAAAUCUCGCCGGAGAACAUCGGAUCGCGGCUGGAAGGGGGCUACUUCAGUGAGGCUUCACCAAGAUUGUCGGCGAUGAUGGAGGCUGGAGGAAGGGUUGUUCCUGGCUUUUGGAGGGCGAGGAACUCGAAUCCAGCGUCAGAUCUGCAGGUAAACAAUGAUAGGAGGUUGGUUAUAUGGUGGCAGCGAGGAGGAAUAAUUUCAACCUCAAGUCGACAUCGACAGAGGAGAAGAAGAAGAAGAAAAGAAGAAGAAGAAGAAGGAGGGAAAGAAGGACGACAACGCAAGGGAGUAGGAAGGAGGAAGUUUCGGUGGCUAGUGGUGGUGAUAGGUGGCUGGAAAUGGAAGGUGUAGGGGAGAGGGAGGUGGCGUCGGAAAAGAAGGGAGGAAGGGGAUGGGGCGAAAAUGAAAUUUUCCAAAAAGAUGAAAAAAGUCCAAAGCCCCCUUCCUUAAAUGCAUUGCUCCAGUAAAACCCUUUUUAUUUCUAUUAUUAUACAUAUGUGUAUAUCUACACACAUACACUUAAUCAUUAUUGUCACCAUUAAUUACUAGCUUAAACUCUUAAUAAUAAAGAUCACUCUAUAAAAUAAAC
RNAcentral lists this long non-coding RNA (808 nucleotides) under Ricinus communis (castor bean). RNAcentral's name for it is "long non-coding RNA (RCOM_LNC000613)". The record is from RNAcentral. Lineage: Eukaryota; Viridiplantae; Streptophyta; Magnoliopsida; Malpighiales; Euphorbiaceae.